This is a long non-coding RNA of Physella acuta, 177 nucleotides long. RefSeq lists it as uncharacterized. The record is from RefSeq and is a predicted model, not a curated record. NCBI's taxonomy places the organism in Eukaryota, Metazoa, Mollusca, Gastropoda, Physidae.
GGUCCAUAACCUAUCUGUGUAUUUCUGUUGUGGUUUCGAUUUUGCCAUUAAACACAUAUGUCUGCUACUCCUAGCAUGGACCAGGGUAAGGAGAAUCCCCUUAACCCACCCAGACAACAGACAAUGAUUUACAUCUGUGGAGAGUGCCAUGCAGAAAAUGAAAUUAAGGCCAGAGAU